This 482-nucleotide ribosomal RNA is filed under the name uncultured Verrucomicrobiota bacterium. RNAcentral describes it as "bacterial SSU rRNA". It matches the Rfam family "Bacterial small subunit ribosomal RNA", at positions 355 to 829 of the family's 1533-position model. The record is from RNAcentral. Lineage: Bacteria; Pseudomonadati; Verrucomicrobiota.
UCGAGAAUCAUUCACAAUGGGGGAAACCCUGAUGGUGCAACGCCGCGUGGAGGAUGACGGCCUUCGGGUUGUAAACUCCUGUCAUCUGGGAGUAAGCCUUGUCCGUUAAUAGCGUGCAAGGUUGAUAGUACCAGAAGAGGAAGGGACGGCUAACUUCGUGCCAGCAGCCGCGGUAAUACGAAGGUCCCAAGCGUUGUUCGGAAUCACUGGGCGUAAAGCGUGCGCAGGCGGCGCGGAAAGUCAGAUGUGAAAUCUCUGGGCUCAACCCGGAAACUGCAUCCGAUACUCCCGCGCUAGAGUAAUGGAGAGGUAGCUGGAAUUCUCGGUGUAGCAGUGAAAUGCGUAGAUAUCGAGAGGAACACUCGUGGCGAAGGCGAGCUACUGGACAUUUACUGACGCUCAGGCACGAAGGCCAGGGGAGCGAAAGGGAUUAGAUACCCCUGUAGUCCUGGCAGUAAACGGUGCGCGCUUGGUGUGGGAGG